RNAcentral lists this ribosomal RNA (511 nucleotides) under Alternaria sesami. RNAcentral's name for it is "eukaryotic LSU rRNA". The stretch from base 147 to 300 matches the Rfam family "5.8S ribosomal RNA". The record is from RNAcentral. Lineage: Eukaryota; Fungi; Ascomycota; Dothideomycetes; Pleosporales; Pleosporaceae.
CUGGAUCUCUCGGGGUUACAGCCUUGCUGAAUUAUUCACCCUUGUCUUUUGCGUACUUCUUGUUUCCUUGGUGGGUUCGCCCACCACUAGGACAAACAUAAACCUUUUGUAAUUGCAAUCAGCGUCAGUAACAAAUUAAUAAUUACAACUUUCAACAACGGAUCUCUUGGUUCUGGCAUCGAUGAAGAACGCAGCGAAAUGCGAUAAGUAGUGUGAAUUGCAGAAUUCAGUGAAUCAUCGAAUCUUUGAACGCACAUUGCGCCCUUUGGUAUUCCAAAGGGCAUGCCUGUUCGAGCGUCAUUUGUACCCUCAAGCUUUGCUUGGUGUUGGGCGUCUUGUCUCUAGCUUUGCUGGAGACUCGCCUUAAAGUAAUUGGCAGCCGGCCUACUGGUUUCGGAGCGCAGCACAAGUCGCACUCUCUAUCAGCAAAGGUCUAGCAUCCAUUAAGCCUUUUUUCAACUUUUGACCUCGGAUCAGGUAGGGAUACCCGCUGAACUUAAGCAUAUCAAAG